Molecule: ribosomal RNA, 469 nt
Filed under: uncultured bacterium
Lineage: Bacteria
Description: partial 16S ribosomal RNA
Rfam family: Bacterial small subunit ribosomal RNA
Source: RNAcentral
GACGAACGCUGGCGGCGUGCUUAACACAUGCAAGUCGAACGGAAAGGCCCUGCUUGCAGGGUGCUCGAGUGGCGAACGGGUGAGUAACACGUGGGUGAUCUGCCCCUUACUUUGGGAUAAGCCUGGGAAACUGGGUCUAAUACUGGAUAGGACCAUGCUGUAGGUGGUGUGGUGGAAAGAUUAGUUUCGGUAAGGGAUGAGCUCGCGGCCUAUCAGCUUGUUGGUGGGGUAAUGGCCUACCAAGGCGUCGACGGGUAGCCGGCCUGAGAGGGUGGACGGCCACAUUGGGACUGAGAUACGGCCCAGACUCCUACGGGAGGCAGCAGUGGGGCAUAUUGCACAAUGGGCGCAAGCCUGAUGCCGCGACGCCGCGUGGGGGAUGACGGCCUUCGGGUUGUAAACUCCUUUCAGCCAUGACGAAGCCCUUGUGGUGACGGUAGUGGUAGAAGAAGCCCCGGCUAACUACGUG